RNAcentral lists this transfer RNA (88 nucleotides) under Agromyces flavus. Its description in RNAcentral is "tRNA-Ala". Lineage: Bacteria; Bacillati; Actinomycetota; Actinomycetes; Micrococcales; Microbacteriaceae. The record is from RNAcentral.
UGAACGCAUACACGGCGAGGUGGUGCGCGGGCUCGCCGCCCGCGGCCGUCGGCGGCUCGCCGGGACGUUCCGCGCGGCGGUGUUCGGC